AAAAAUUUUAGUUACCUCUAAUCUAUAUAUAAAAUACAGCAAAAAAAAAAAAAAAAAACCAAUUUUCAAGAAAAUAUUUUUCUGUGCGUAUUAUGUUUCAACUCCAAAUUUUGAAAGAUAUUUUUUAUCGUUUAACAUUUCUUGAACUAGAAUGAAAAAAUAAAAAUUUAUUCAUUCCUAAUUGAUUUUAUCUUUAUUUAAUGAUGAAAUUCCGACAUGAAUUGCACACGCGCACUUUUUAUGUACCUAUGUGAAGCUAUGUUGUUUACCAUUACGACUCACCAUCGCUAGGGGAAGAUAUAUCGUUCACGUGACGUUUUUGUUUCUCCCAUAGAGAAAGCUGUACGUGUCGAAUCUGUGUAUUCCUAAUCUGUGAUCAAGAAACAAAGUCGCAGCCAAAGUCAACUCAGUCAGUGCCUUCAGUCACUAUAAUAACAAAUAUGACCGUUUUGCACUGAUAGCGUCUAGAUGGCGCAAUCAGUGCAAAACGGCAUGCGAAUCUUCUCACUAAUCUUUGUUUAUUAAAUUUCUCUCAUUAUCGUUUAUUACAUGAAAAUUCCCCACUUAGAGAAUUAGUUUUACUACCAAGACAACUGAUUUAAAAGUAUUUUCCGAUUGACUGUGUUCAGAUAUUAAUGCCAUCAAAAUAGAAAAUGAAUUUUUUUAGCCUCUGAUGUAAGAUAGACUAAUUCGCUAUCGCUUUACAAAAAUUUCAUCUCCCAAUCGGUGUUGGUCCAGAAAUUAACCUGGUGAAGUGAUAACAAUUUGAUUGGGAAAUACUUUUUUAAAAUCGUUUUCUGAUGAAAUAUAUGAUUUUUAAGUAGAGUACAUCUGAAAAAGUUAAUUUUUAACCAAAAUUUCACCUCCCAAUUAAGAUUGAUCCAGAAACUGAUCUGAUGAACAGUGUUUGAUUGGGAGUGCGCUUUUUUUUGGCUCUUUUAAUUAAAAUUAACUCAUGUUUUUAGGUAUAGUGAAUCUAAAAAAUUAUACUUUUUAACUAAAAUUUGUCCCCCCAAAAUCUCAAUCUAUAAAAAUUAAAACAAUAAAAAUUAAAAUAUUUUUGGGAAAUGCUUAGUUUUUGCUUUUUUUUAGAUAAAAUUAGUCAAUUUCUUAGUAUAACAGAACCAAAAGACUUAACUUUUAUGCCUAAAUUUGCAUGCAGAAGUAAUAUUUUGAUAUUUAUGAAUUUUUACAAAGAAAAAAGCCGCAGAUUUCUAGUGGUAACAAAAAAUUUUGCAAACAGUGAAAAACAUCACGCUGUUUACAAUGGAACGAAAGAAAUGUGACACAGUUUGGACUUUUUUGGGAUUUCUUAAACAUCUUAACAAGCACAGAUCGAAAGAAUUAUACUCGUGGGAAGUUUUAUAAAGUGCUCGGCUAAGUGUUGUCCUCUUUUCGCUGUGUCGAAUUAACGUAUCGAAUGUCUGGAGUUUAUCAAACGUUCGAGAGAACUCAAAAGUCGUUUUUCUCGGCAUUCACGUAACACAGAUUAACGUUUCUUUUUUUAAAAAAACUUCCUAUUUUAUAUAAUCAAAUUCUACAAAAGCGACUAGAGAGAGAGCAAAAAUAUGUGUUAUGUGAAAGUAGGUUGCACAGUCGAGUUGCUUCCAGUCCCAACGGGUUUAGAGUAAAGAAGACCCGAGAGACGAACAAAUCUUGCAAGUCGUUUUUCUCUUAAGUGUCUUUAUAAAAGAAAAACCAAGUUUUUGGAAAUCUUUGUUUCGUCUUUCUUUUACGGAACUCGUCCCAGAGGAACGACGGACACAAUCUGGAGGGAGGUUCGAGUGGAGAAAGAGGACACGCCUGACCAGUCGGCCAGACAACGACUUCUUAGAAGUCGGCUAUUCUCUGUACGUCUGCGUUCCUGACCGUCUGGCUCGGAUCUUGCUGACCUACCCUAUGAUGUCAUACCUAUAGCCCCAGGGUCGCUGACCGAUACACCAUUUGUCUUCUGUUUAGUCAUCUGUUCAUCCGAACGUUUUGUGCAUUCGAAUACUAUUUUUGCCUUAAUCUAAAUUGUUUUAUGCGCAAGCAAGUUUAAUUUUCAACAAACAGCUCAAAAAAAUUCAUAAGCAAAAAGCAAAUCAAAAUUUUAGACUACAUCAAGGUCACGAAACUCUCAGCAACUUUUUUUUUUUUUUUAAGAAAUAUCUACACAUGAAAUAACACACCAG
Molecule: long non-coding RNA, 2174 nt
Filed under: Androctonus crassicauda
Lineage: Eukaryota; Metazoa; Arthropoda; Arachnida; Scorpiones; Buthidae
Source: RNAcentral